UUAGGAAUCUUCCCCAAUGGGCGCAAGCCUGAGGGAGCGACACUGCGUGAAGGACGAAGGUUUUCGGAUCGUAAACUUCUGAACGAGGGACGAAUAAUGACGGUACCUCGCUAAAAGCACCGGCUAACUCCGUGCCAGCAGCCGCGGUAAUACGGAGGGUGCAAGCGUUAUCCGGAUUCACUGGGCGUAAAGGGCACGUAGGCGGUCUAGUAAGUCCGAUGUUAAUGCGUGGGGCUCAACCCCAUCACGGCGUUGCAUACUGCUAGGCUUGACGACGGGAGAGGUGAGUAGAAUUACCAGUGUAGCGGUGGAAUGCGUAGAUACUGGUAGGAAUACCCAUUGCGAAGGCAGCUCACUGGACAGGAACUGACGCUGAGGCACGAAAGCGUGGGGAGCAAACAGGAUUAGAUACCCCGGUAGUCC
RNAcentral lists this ribosomal RNA (423 nucleotides) under uncultured prokaryote. RNAcentral's name for it is "bacterial SSU rRNA". It matches the Rfam family "Bacterial small subunit ribosomal RNA", at positions 355 to 796 of the family's 1533-position model. The record is from RNAcentral.